CCCUCCUUGUAGGACUAUCCCUCUGCCAUGUGGAACCCGGUGUACUUCCUGCUUUGAUCAAUGGGUGUGGGGGCUCUAUGGCCAGGGUGUGGCUUGCCGUGUUCUCUCUUCUGCUGACACAAUGACUGGCAAUACUCAGUCCAGAGUGAAGAAGAGGCCGAGCAGAGCUGCAGCUGACCUACAGUGGACAUACAAUACGAGGAAGAACCUUUGCUGUUGUGAGCCUCCGAGCUUUGAUUUGUUCCUGUAGCAUAACCCAGCUUAUCCUGGGUGAUCCAGCAAGCAAACCUUUCUCAGCUCAGCCACACAUAUUCACACCUGUGGGGAGGCCAACAACCAGGACCUGAAUGGAACCACGAUCGAGGGUAAUCCAGUACAGACAAUGCACACCGAAACAGAAGGUCUAGAGCUCUCAUUUUAGCCUCCAGAGCAGGGAUGCUGUGAGGCCCAUGCAACAGAUGUCUCCCCCAGGACACUCCACUCUCAACUUCCGUUCUGCGUAGGCAGCCGAGAUGCCCAUAUUACAACCAGCUCCUACUCUUCUCUAUUGGCACAAACAGUCGGCUGAGGGAUCCCUGCUGGUGGGGCUUCAUUUCUUCACCUCGCAGUGAAGGGGCAGAUGGGGGAACUGUGGCCCAGAGAAGUAAAGUAACUUGCCUAAAGUCACACAGCUGGUCAGCGGCCAGGUUGUGGCUACACUCGGGUACUCCGAACAUCCAGCGAGGAAUUGCAGGUAGAUUUGAAGUGAGGCUUAAGGAAUAUGAUCUUAUGAAAAAAUCAAGAAGUAGGAAUUUUCAAAAUCUCCAUGUAUUUUCACCUGUUAACUCAUUCAGAAGGCAGAAACUGCAUCUCAGCAAGCACUCCAUAAACAUCUCAAUGAGUGAACCCCAAACAAAUGCUGGUUCCCCUCUUCAAGUAAAGAAGCGGUAUAAGCUACUUUUAAAAUGAGACUAAAAAAAUCCUUAAAACAUUUUGAUUAAAAAGUAGAAAUAAAACUUAGGUAACAUAUCUGUGGGAAAAGCUAUUUUAAUCAUUACAUUUUUACUGAAGUGAGACCAGAAUAACUUACAGGACAGUUUGAAUGACUGUAAAUUGCUGAAUUAGGCACAUAAAAUCAGAUUACUUAAGAGGUGCUACCCGGCUGUCUGGCUACUUUUAGAGAACCUAUCAUUUCUAAGAUUUAUUCGAAAAUAUCUUGUUUUAGUAUUUAAGUGUAUCAGUACAGGUACCUAUUCCUCUAUUGUUAGAAUAAACAUAAUUUUGUACUGGAGGCUCCAGGGCGACAGGUGUCGAAAUUCCCACAUAAUUAAGAAUUAUCUCAUAUAUCCCACACAGUUUUUAAAGUUCUGACAUUCUUGUAGGUGAAAAACCUAUUUAUAAUGAUCUGAGUUUAGGAGACAUCUAUUUUCAGCUACAAUGGAACAGCUCAUAGCAGAUGAACACUCCUACUGAGAAGAAUUAGAAAAGCUGGAUAAAAUACCGCCAAUUACUCAAUCAAUAUGCAAACAAACUGGAGAGAUGUCAAGGCAGUUAAGACAAGAAGCCAAAACUAAAGUCAGGCAUGGGAGUCGAGGGGUCUACUAAGAAGCAGGCUUUCAGCAGUCUUCCUGGGCUGGGGGGUUGGGGUGGCAAAAUAAAUAAAUAAAUAGGAGUGCAGGGGUGCAGGACACCAACUCAGCUAAAACUCGAGGAAACAAAAUCCCUGAAAAAAGUGAGUCAGAGAGAAGAGAACCCUGUAUUUGGUGGUUUUCCCUUGAGACAGCUGCCAAUACCUAAGUCAUUCAGGGCAGCAGGUUAAGAGGCUGAAAGCAGGUUGAGAAAGUUUGGGACUUCUGGUAAUUUCAAAGGGUGGAGGUGUUCAGGACAUGCCCAGAGGAGGGGCCAUAGGAAAUCCUGUAGACGGUCAGUUGAGAUCUCUGGAAAGUUACACCCACUUGAUUUCAGUAAUUGAUCAUUUGAGCCACUUGUUUUUUCUUGCUUUAAAUUCACUCUUAGGUUUUAUUUUUUUUAUUUUUAUUUUUUUGAGGAAGAUUAGCCCUGAGCUAACAUCUGCUGCCAAUCCUCCUCUUUUUGCUGAGGAACACUAGCCCUGAACUAACAUCUGUGCCCAUCUUCUUCCACUUUCUAUGUGGGUCGCCUACCACAGCACGGCUUGCCAAGCGGUGCCAUGUCCGCACCCAGGAUCCAAACCGGCAAACCCUGUGCCACCAAAGCGGAACCUGUGCACUUAACCACUGUGCCACCAGGCCAGCCCUACUCUUAGGUUUUAAAUUCAUGCUCUCAGGGUUUACCCAGAGACAGGCGCAGCCUUACAAAGAUGGCAAUCUUGCCUAACCAGCUCUGACCCUGCCUGCAGAUGCAGAGCAACGCUGACCAUUAUCUCCAAAGCAACAGUAAGAAGGACAGCUAACUUCUCCACAGUAACAAUAGAAACCAGAAGAAAAUAGAGUGGCAUCUUUAAAGUGUGGAAGGAAAAUCCUAGCAUUCUACAGGCAGUUAACAUACUCUUUGAAAAAAGGAUGCAAAAUAAAGACAUUUCCAAACAAACAUAAACUGAGAGAAUUCAUUAGGAGAUUCACACUAAAAGAUAUCAUAAUUAGAGUUCUUCAGGAAGGAGGAAAAAGACCCCAGAUAAAAACAUGAAAAUACAGGAAAGAAUGAAGAGCAGUAGAAAUGGCAAUUGUUGGUAAAUGCAGAUGAAUAUUCAACUAUAUAAAACAAAAAUAAUGUCUGACAAAGUAUGGAGGCAUAUAUAGAUAUCUAUCUCAACAACAAUAAACAUGUGGAAAGUAGUGAAUGUUCUAAUUUAAAUUAGAUUCUAUUAAGUAAAGAAUGUCACUAAAAGAAUAAAUAAGUACCAUGAUAAUAAAAGGGGAGAAGGAUAUAAUAAUAUUUCAUUAAUCCAAAAUAGGCAAGAAACAAGAGGAAAAGGUACAUAAAACUUGUGGGACAAGUAGAAAAAAAUAAUAAAAUGGCAGAUGUGAAUCCAAAUACCUCAGUAAUAACAUUAAAUAUAAUUGGAUUACAUAUUCCAAUUAAAAGACAACAAUUAUCAGACUACAUUUAAAAAAACUCUAUGCUACAGGAGAUAAAACCUAAAGACUACAAACACAAAAGGGUUGAAAGUAAAAGGAUGAAAAACAUUAUACAAACACCAACCAAAAGUAACUGAUACACCUACAUUAAUAUCAUAUAAAAGAAACUUUAAGACAAUCAGCUUUGGUAGAGAUAACCAAGGGCAUACCAUAACAAUAAAAGAGUCAAUCUACCAUGAAGACAAAACAAUUCUAAAUUUACACCCAUGUAGUACUCUUACCGGCUCUUACUUAAUAUCAGCCUUGAUAUUGGCUCCCCUACAGUGAACCUGGCACAUAGGGUGUUAAAACUAAAAACCUGCAUUCCUGGUUCCCUGGGUCUUUAGUUACACUCAUAUGUACAUGUUUGUGUCUUUAGUCUCUGACUCCCUGAGCUUUACAACCAAACAGAAGUUACAAAUUGUUAAAGCCCAGAUGGCUGGGCUCCCACUAAAGUUGUCGCUAAUCCCAGGACCUUGAAGUUCUUUUACGGAGAAACUAAUGUCCAGAGAAUAUCAAGAAACUUAAGCUUCCCAGGCUCAACUCCUCGGCUUCCUGACGUCAGAGUCUCCCGUCCACCAUGGAGAUGAACAGUCAAGGACGCUCACCUGAGAAAUCUUUUGUCUCCUCUGCUGGAAGCAGCCCCAGAUGCAGGCGGAUGGGAAAAUGCAGACCAAGAAGGCCACGGCCCCCUCCCCUACCUAAAACCCCAAAUAAAAACCCCUACCCAUAUCUCAAAGGGGAGCAAGCAACUUUGGGGGCACUAGCCCUUGCUUUGCUCUCUCUGCCUGGCAAAGUAAAGCUUUCCUUUUUCUCCCAAGACUCUGUUCUCGUUAUUGGAUUGGCAUCAGGAUCAGAGACUGAACUUUUGGUAAUAGUACAAGCCUGAGAGUGGGCUUUUCAUUUAUAACACAAGUACCUGACUUAAGCUUUGAUUGUGAGGCAUCCACUCCAAACAGAGCUAUCUGGAAUAAACACACUGCCAGCCACAGGACCAGAUAAAGAGCCAGGCCAUCUCCCUGUACUGAACAGCCUUUGUUUCAGAGAUCUUGGUGGAUUUCAGUAAUUGACCAAUUGGGCGACUUGUUUUUUCUUGCUUUAAAUUCACUCUUAGGUUUUAAAUUCACUAAUAAAGAGUGAACCCCUGAAACCUUAUGCUCCUACCCUCAAUCCCAUAAAAGCAGAACACCAGGCCCGUGCACUCUUUACCUGUGACCUGUGUGGCCCCAGGUGUGCUAUGUAAUUUCCAGUCCUGC
RNAcentral lists this long non-coding RNA (4330 nucleotides) under Equus caballus (horse). RNAcentral's name for it is "lncRNA (ENSECAG00000044592.1)". The record is from RNAcentral. Lineage: Eukaryota; Metazoa; Chordata; Mammalia; Perissodactyla; Equidae.